RNAcentral lists this ribosomal RNA (535 nucleotides) under uncultured Acidobacteriota bacterium. Its description in RNAcentral is "bacterial SSU rRNA". It matches the Rfam family "Bacterial small subunit ribosomal RNA", at positions 8 to 522 of the family's 1533-position model. Lineage: Bacteria; Pseudomonadati; Acidobacteriota. The record is from RNAcentral.
AGAGUUUGAUCAUGGCUCAGAAUCAACGCUGGCGGCGUGCCUAACACAUGCAAGUCGAACGCGAAAGUCCCGCAAGGGAUCAGUAGAGUGGCAAACGGGUGAGUAACACGUGGGUGACCUGCCUUCGAGUGGGGGAUAACGUCCCGAAAGGGACGCUAAUACCGCAUGACAUCCUGCUCUUGAACGAGUGGAGAUCAAAGCUGGGGAUCGCAAGACCUAGCGCUCAAAGAGGGGCCCGCGCCUGAUUAGCUAGUUGGUGGGGUAACGGCUCACCAAGGCGACGAUCAGUAUCCGGCCUGAGAGGGCGGACGGACACACUGGGACUGAGACACGGCCCAGACUCCUACGGGAGGCAGCAGUGGGGAAUUGGUCGCAAUGGGCGCAAGCCUGACGACGCAACGCCGCGUGGAGGAUGAAGAUCUUCGGGUCGUAAACUCCUUUCGAUCGAGACGAACGGCCUCCGGGUGAACAAUCCGGAGGAGUGACGGUACCGAGAGAAGAAGCCCCGGCUAACUCCGUGCCAGCAGCCGCGGUA